GCCGAAGUGGCGAAAUUGGUAGACGCAGUUGAUUCAAAAUCAACCACUUUUUGGGUGUACCGGUUCGAGUCCGGUCUUCGGCACCA
This 86-nucleotide transfer RNA is filed under the name Candidatus Palibaumannia cicadellinicola. RNAcentral's name for it is "Candidatus Baumannia cicadellinicola tRNA-Leu". It matches the Rfam family "tRNA". From Rfam's summary of the family: Transfer RNA (tRNA) molecules are approximately 80 nucleotides in length. Lineage: Bacteria; Pseudomonadati; Pseudomonadota; Gammaproteobacteria. The record is from RNAcentral.